ACUCAAAUGAAUAGACGGGGGCCCGCACAAGCAGUGGAGCAUGUGGUUUAAUUCGAUGCAACGCGCAGAACCUUACCCAGGCUCGAAAUGCAGCGGACGACACUAGAAAUAGUGUUUCCCGAAAGGGCUGCUGUAUAGGUGCUGCAUGGCUGUCGUCAGCUCGUGCCGUGAGGUGUUGGGUUAAGUCCCGCAACGAGCGCAACCCUCGUCACUAGUUGCCAACAUUUCGGAUGGGAACUCUAGUGAGACUGCCUAGGUUAACUAGGAGGAAGGUGAGGAUGACGUCAAGUCCGCAUGGCCUUUAUGUCUGGGGCUACACACGUGCUACAAUGGUCGGUACAGAAGGCAGCAAGACCGCGAGGUGGAGCAAAUCCGUAAAACCGAUCUCAGUUCAGAUUGCAGUCUGCAACUCGACUGCAUGAAGUUGGAAUUGCUAGUAAUGACGUGUCAGCAACAACGUCGUGAAUACGUUCCCGGGCCUUGUACACACCGCCCGU
RNAcentral lists this ribosomal RNA (497 nucleotides) under uncultured bacterium. RNAcentral describes it as "partial 16S ribosomal RNA". It matches the Rfam family "Bacterial small subunit ribosomal RNA", at positions 899 to 1397 of the family's 1533-position model. The record is from RNAcentral.